GAAAUGCGAUAAGUAAUGUGAAUUGCAGAAUUCAGUGAAUCAUCGAAUCUUUGAACGCACAUUGCGCCCGCCAGCACUCUGGCGGGCAUGCCUGUUCGAGCGUCAUUUCAACCCUCAGAACCCCUUGCGGGAUCUGGCGUUGGGGAUUGGCAUCCAGCCAGCCCCGAAAUCUAGUGGCGGUCCCUCCGCGACCUCCCCUGUGCAGUAGCGAUACCUCGCAGCGGGACAGCGGUCUGACCACGCCGUAAAACCCCCAACUUCUCAAGGUUGACCUCGAAUCAGGUAGGAAUACCCGCUGAUCAUGAGC
RNAcentral lists this unclassified non-coding RNA (307 nucleotides) under plant metagenome. RNAcentral's name for it is "partial contains 5.8S ribosomal RNA, internal transcribed spacer 2, and large subunit ribosomal RNA". The stretch from base 1 to 105 matches the Rfam family "5.8S ribosomal RNA", at positions 50 to 154 of the family's 154-position model. The record is from RNAcentral.